Molecule: long non-coding RNA, 498 nt
Filed under: Mytilus galloprovincialis (Mediterranean mussel)
Lineage: Eukaryota; Metazoa; Mollusca; Bivalvia; Mytilida; Mytilidae
Source: RNAcentral
CAAGUGCUUAAAAGAUUUAUCGUAUAUAUCAUCAUGAUCAUUGUUGUGGAAUACACUAUUACAUAAUGUUCCUAUAAUGUGUACGAUAUGUUUACAUAUUCAUAAUCUAUGUUCGUGCACAUAAAAUAUCCAAGAUGGCGAUCGAGAGAGCUGCAUCAUCACUACAUUCGUGCCUUCAUCAGUUCAAACGGAAUAAUAUGCACGAACGAAUGCUUAAAUAAAAUUUACCUAGUUCCUUGCUUACACAUAACAAACACUGUGUCGGUAUAAAAGUCCAAAGUUUAUAAAAUCUCAAAAUAAAAAUCUUGUUUACAAAACUAUCGAUCUGUAGAUAAGCAAGAAAGUGUAAUAAGAUACAUAGUGAAGAAACUAACCAAUGGGCAUCCAGUCAAAAGAGCGUAAUGCAGGGGUUCCCCAAAGGAUUAUGAAAAUAAUCAAAAAGAAAUGAAUUAAUGGUUUUCGUCGUUUGCAUAAAAUAAGUUAUUAAAAUAACUUGCC